UUGUGUUCAAAGUAUAUAAAAUGCAUAUAAUAAGCGAGUACACCAUGAAUCCAUUUUCCAAACCGUGUUUUUAGCUUGUCCUGAAUCACUAGGGUGCACCUAUAAUAAGUGUUUAUAUUCGGACUAUUUUAGAUUGCUUCGGGAGUACCGCGGCGGAGUAACCCAGUACCUUUGUGAUUCUUCAUAGACAUAAACAGAGAGAAGUAGUUCCGGCUACGAUGUUCUUCCGCAACACGCAAGCAGUUCUGUUUAUUAACCGCUAGAGCGUCAAAAGUUAGUGUAACAGAUCUGGAUUAAGCUCAUAUCAAACUGAACUGCUCACUUGUUAAAGCGAGACAUUUAAAGGGUUGUUAUCUGGAGCUGUGUUUAUCAGUCUGUUAUUUCUCCUCCCAUCUUUAAGACUUUGACCUCAGGAGCGCCUGCUGUUCCUCACACUGUGAGAAGAUCUCGAGACAUCUCCACGAGCUCGUCUGAGUGUUUCCAGUCUCCAGAUGAACCUCAGGGGUCUGGAUCUUCUCAAAGAGCUCAAACGGAUUGUUGUGUUCAGGUGCUGUCUUCAUGCUGCAGGGUUCGAGUCCGUUCGGCUGCUCCAGAGGUUAUCCUGAAUGACUCGGCUCCAGGUGCUGUCUUCAUGCUGCAGGGUUCGAGUCCGUUCGGCUGCUCCAGAGGUUAUCCUGAAUGACUCGGCUCCAGGUUUAUCCAGACCCAGCGCAGGAUCAGUAAACAGUGAGGACUGACCCUGAGACCAGAUGAUCAUUAACUCAAAGCUGUUUAUACACACCACCGACCGCACACUGCUGCUAGCUCAACGAAUACUGAUAUAGUGUCAGGAAAGGUGUUUAUGUGUGUUUUUGAUGUUAGCCAUGCAACGAUUCGAUUUCAAAAACUGUGGUUUUGUUAUGAUUUUAUGUCUGUAUUUAACCUCUGAAUGAUCUCAAAGGUGCUAGAAUCUGAAUCAGUGGUGAAUGAAAUGAUUACAAUCUUAAAGUAACGAAGGAUUUUGAGGAGUCUGAGCGUGAUUCAGAAUUAUUAACUGUUGAAAACAUUUGUUAGAAAUGUAGAAAAGUAAUCAAAAAGUAAUCAAGUGUAAUCAGUUACGUUACAUUAAUGAAAUAAUUGAAAUAGUUGCAAUACUCAUUUUAUUUUAGAUAAGGUAACUUGUAAUCUGUAACCUAAUAUACAUUUCCAAAGAAACCUUCGCAACUUUGUUGUUCGGUAGGGGCGUCACAAAAAUAAAUUAAUUACAAA
Long non-coding RNA from Carassius gibelio (silver crucian carp), 1248 nucleotides. RefSeq lists it as uncharacterized. The record is from RefSeq and is a predicted model, not a curated record. The transcript has 4 exons. NCBI's taxonomy places the organism in Eukaryota, Metazoa, Chordata, Actinopteri, Cypriniformes, Cyprinidae.